RNAcentral lists this ribosomal RNA (253 nucleotides) under uncultured bacterium. Its description in RNAcentral is "partial 16S ribosomal RNA". It matches the Rfam family "Bacterial small subunit ribosomal RNA", at positions 524 to 776 of the family's 1533-position model. The record is from RNAcentral.
UACGUAGGGGGCAAGCGUUGUCCGGAAUCAUUGGGCGUAAAGAGCGUGUAGGCGGCCCGGUAAGUCCGCUGUGAAAGUCCAGGGCUCAACCCUGGGAUGCCGGUGGAUACUGUCGGGCUCGAGUCCGGAAGAGGAGUGUGGAAUUCCUGGUGUAGCGGUGGAAUGCGCAGAUAUCAGGAGGAACACCAAUAGCGAAGGCAGCUCGCUGGGACGUUACUGACACUGAGGCGCGAAAGCGUGGGGAGCGAACAGG